UACGAAGGGGGCUAGCGUUGUUCGGAAUUACUGGGCGUAAAGGGCGCGUAGGCGGUCUUUGAAGUCGGGCGUGAAAGCCCUGGGCUCAACCCAGGAAUUGCGCUCGAUACUCUUGGACUUGAGUGCGGGAGAGGGUGGUGGAAUUCCCAGUGUAGAGGUGAAAUUCGUAGAUAUUGGGAAGAACACCAGUGGCGAAGGCGGCCACCUGGACCGUAACUGACGCUGAGGCGCGAAAGCGUGGGGAGCAAACAGG
This 253-nucleotide ribosomal RNA is filed under the name uncultured bacterium. Its description in RNAcentral is "partial 16S ribosomal RNA". It matches the Rfam family "Bacterial small subunit ribosomal RNA", at positions 524 to 776 of the family's 1533-position model. The record is from RNAcentral.